AUUGAACGCUGGCGGCAGGCCUAACACAUGCAAGUCGAGCGAGCGGCAGACGGGUGCGUAAUGUAUGGGGAUCUGCACGAUAGAGGGGGAUAACUACUGGAAACGGUGGCUAAUACCGCAUACUAUCGGAUGAACCCAUAUGGGAUUAGCUAGUAGGUGGGGUAAAGGCUCACCUAGGCGACGAUCUCUAGCUGGGCUGAGAGGAUGAACAGCCACACGGGGACUGAGACAGGGCCCAGACUCCUACGGGAGGCAGCAGAGGGGAAUAUUGCACAUGGGGCGCAAGCCUGAUGCAGCCAGGCGGCGUGUAUGAAGAAGGCCUUGGGGUUUUAAGGUACUUUCAGCGGGGAGGCGUUACCCGCAGAGGAAGCGCCGGCUAACUCCGUGCCAGCAGCGGCGGUAAUUC
RNAcentral lists this ribosomal RNA (406 nucleotides) under uncultured bacterium. Its description in RNAcentral is "partial 16S ribosomal RNA". It matches the Rfam family "Bacterial small subunit ribosomal RNA", at positions 29 to 526 of the family's 1533-position model. The record is from RNAcentral.